RNAcentral lists this ribosomal RNA (496 nucleotides) under uncultured bacterium. RNAcentral describes it as "partial 16S ribosomal RNA". It matches the Rfam family "Bacterial small subunit ribosomal RNA", at positions 28 to 506 of the family's 1533-position model. The record is from RNAcentral.
GAUGAACGCUGGCGGCGUACCUAAUACAUGCAAGUCGAGCGAACAGACGAGGAGCUUGCUCCUCUGACGUUAGCGGCGGACGGGUGAGUAACACGUGGAUAACCUACCUAUAAGACUGGGAUAACUUCGGGAAACCGGAGCUAAUACCGGAUAAUAUAUUGAACCGCAUGGUUCAAUAGUGAAAGACGGUUUUGCUGUCACUUAUAGAUGGAUCCGCGCCGCAUUAGCUAGUUGGUAAGGUAACGGCUUACCAAGGCGACGAUGCGUAGCCGACCUGAGAGGGUGAUCGGCCACACUGGAACUGAGACACGGUCCAGACUCCUACGGGAGGCAGCAGUAGGGAAUCUUCCGCAAUGGGCGAAAGCCUGACGGAGCAACGCCGCGUGAGUGAUGAAGGUCUUCGGAUCGUAAAACUCUGUUAUUAGGGAAGAACAAAUGUGUAAGUAACUAUGCACGUCUUGACGGUACCUAAUCAGAAAACCACGGCUAACUACGU